This is a long non-coding RNA of Arvicola amphibius (Eurasian water vole), 1162 nucleotides long. RefSeq lists it as uncharacterized. The record is from RefSeq and is a predicted model, not a curated record. NCBI's taxonomy places the organism in Eukaryota, Metazoa, Chordata, Mammalia, Rodentia, Cricetidae. The transcript has 2 exons.
AGGUCUGAGCAGCUGGGAACAAACAAGCAGCCACCCAUCCAUUCCUUCGAGAAGGCCAGAAGACGUCACCAGACCCCAUUACCGAUGGUCGUGAGCCGCCGUGUCGUCGCCGGGACUCGAACUCAGGACCUUGGAAGAGCGGGCCGUGCUCUCACCACUGAGCCGUCCCCCCAGCCCAGGGAACGCUGUGGACGCGCUCCCCAGAAUUCACUCCACAUGGAUCCCGACCCCGAAUAUUAAAUGUUCCAAGCGCAGGACUGGUGGACGACCCCAGGGGGAGCAGAGCGCUCUGACCUCGGUGGCCCGUGUGCCGCGAGCGAGGACAGGAAGACUGAGCAGUAGUCAUGGGGAUCUGUGGGGCUGGAAGAACCCAGGGAUGAUACUGCAGUGUGCCUGACACAGAAAGGGAACCUGGCGAGGGUGGCGGCGCACGCCUGUCAUCCCAGCACUCCCGAGGCCCCGGCAGGCGCACGGAUCUCUGUGGGUCCUGGGUUCGAGUCCAGCCCAGUCUAUGAAGCGAGGGUCAGGACAGCCAGGUCUACACAGAGAAACCCUGUCUUGAAAAAGGAAACAAAACAGGAAGUGGGGAGGGAGGGAGGGAGCCCUGAAUGGGAGUCUGCGGCACAGACAGCUGUUUUGAAGACGUGAAUGCCAAGGAGCUCAAAGAACUCGGGGUUCUCCUGCUUCUGUGUCCCAAGUGCCGGGAUCUCAGGUGUGCACGGUCAGGUGCGCAGGUCAGGUGUGCACGUCCCCCUCCAAAAAGCAUUUUCACGGAUUGAGUAAAGUGGGGGAGGGGGACUUGAAUCCCUGCCGAGCCCAUGAUGCAUAAUCCAUGUAAAUGCCAUGGCGUACGCAUGUUCUGUCCCGCACAUGCAGUCGUAUGUGCUUCCUGUGUGCAUAUGCAGCCAUGUGUGUGCUGGACGGAUCGCUCAGCAGCGAAAUGCCCUGGCCGCUCUUCCGGAGAGCCUGGGUCCCACAACUCCAGUGCCUGUGCAGCGGCUCGCGGCUCUGAGAAAUUCUAGUGCCUGACACGUGGCGCACACACAAACAUGCAGGCGAAACAUGCACACACACACACACAAAUAGUAAAUUUAAAAAAAAAAAACCAAGCCGGUCGGUGGUGGCAUCCACGUCUCUCAGGAAUUCUGUCUUUGAUAUUAAA